AAUGACGGUACCUAACGAAUAAGCAUCGGCUAACUCCGUGCCAGCAGCCGCGGUAAGACGGAGGAUGCAAGCGUUAUCCGGAAUUAUUGGGCGUAAAGCGUACGUAGGCUGUUUCAUAAGUCUGUUGUCAAAGCGCGAGGCUCAACCUUGUAAAGGCAAUGGAAACUGUAAGACUAGAGAGAGAUAGGGGCAGGAGGAAUUCCAGGUGUAGCGGUGAAAUGCGUAGAUAUCUGGAAGAACACCAGUGGCGAAAGCGUCCUGCUGGAUCUCAACUGACGCUGAAGUACGAAAGCUAGGGGAGCGAAUGGGAUUAGAUACC
This 319-nucleotide ribosomal RNA is filed under the name Pseudanabaena sp. GS3-2. RNAcentral's name for it is "bacterial SSU rRNA". It matches the Rfam family "Bacterial small subunit ribosomal RNA", at positions 468 to 786 of the family's 1533-position model. The record is from RNAcentral. Lineage: Bacteria; Bacillati; Cyanobacteriota; Cyanophyceae; Pseudanabaenales; Pseudanabaenaceae.